This 490-nucleotide ribosomal RNA is filed under the name uncultured bacterium. RNAcentral describes it as "bacterial SSU rRNA". It matches the Rfam family "Bacterial small subunit ribosomal RNA", at positions 15 to 518 of the family's 1533-position model. The record is from RNAcentral.
GAUUAUGGCUCAGGACGAACGCUGGCGGCGUGCUUAACACAUGCAAGUCGAGCGAUGAAGCUCUUCGGAAGUGGAUUAGCGGCGGACGGGUGAGUAACACGUGGGUAACCUGCCUCAUAGAGGGGAAUAGCCUUUCGAAAGGAAGAUUAAUACCGCAUAAGAUUGUAGUACCGCAUGGUACAGCAAUUAAAGGAGUAAUCCGCUAUGAGAUGGACCCGCGUCGCAUUAGCUAGUUGGUGAGGUAACGGCUCACCAAGGCGACGAUGCGUAGCCGACCUGAGAGGGUGAUCGGCCACAUUGGGACUGAGACACGGCCCAGACUCCUACGGGAGGCAGCAGGUGGGGAAUAUUGCACAAGUGGGGGAAACCCUGAAUGCAGCAACGCCGCGUGAGUGAUGACGGCCUUCGGGUUAGUAAAACUCUGUCGUUUGGGGACGAUAAUGACGGUACCCAAGGAGGAAGCCACGGCUAACUACGUGCCAGCCGCGGC